This 483-nucleotide ribosomal RNA is filed under the name uncultured bacterium. Its description in RNAcentral is "partial 16S ribosomal RNA". It matches the Rfam family "Bacterial small subunit ribosomal RNA", at positions 30 to 506 of the family's 1533-position model. The record is from RNAcentral.
AUUGAACGCUGGCGGCAGGCCUAACACAUGCAAGUCGAGCGGAUGAAGGGAGCUUGCUUCUGGCUUCAGCGUCGGACGGGUGUGUAAUGCCUAGGAAUCUGCUUGGUAGUGGGGGAUGACGUCCGUAAACGGGCGCUAAUACUGCCUACGUCCUGAGGGUGAAAGAGGGGGUUCUUCGGACAUCACGCACUCAGAUGAGACUAGGUCGGAUUAGCUAGUUGGUGGGGUUAAGGCAUACAACGGCGACGAUCCGUAACUGGUCUGAGAGGAUGAUCAGUCACACUGGAAGUGAGACACGGCCCAGACUCCUACGGGAGGCAGGAGGGGGGAAUAUUGGACUGGGGGCGAAAGCCUGAGCCAGCCGUGGCGCGAGUGUAAAGAAGGUCUGCGGAUUGUAAAGCUCUUUAAGGUGGGAGGAAGGGCAGUAAGUUAAUACCUUGCUGUGUGGACGUAACCAACAGAAUAAGCACCGGCUAACUCGGU